UGCAAGUCGUACGAGAACGCUUCAGCUUGCUGAAGCUAGUAAAGUGGCGUACGGGUGAGUAACGCGUGGGUAAUCUACCUCCGAAUUGGGGAUAACAUUGCGAAAGCGAUGCUAAUACCGGAUAAUAUCCAUUAAACCUCGGUUUUUUGGAUCAAAGGUGGCCUCUACAUGUAAGCUACUGUUUGGAGACGAGCCCGCGUACCAUUAGCUUGUUGGUAGGGUAACGGCUUACCAAGGCAACGAUGGUUAGCUGGUCUGAGAGGAUGAUCAGCCACACUGGAACUGACACACGGUCCAGACUCCUACGGGAGGCAGCAGUGAGGAAUUUUGCGCAAUGGGGGAAACCCUGACGCAGCAACGCCGCGUGAGUGAUGAAGGCUUUCGGGUCGUAAAGCUCUGUCAAGUGGGAAGAAACCAUAUGGUAUUAAUACCGCCAUAUGUUGACGGUACCAUUGAAGGAAGCACCGGCUAACUCCGUG
This 479-nucleotide ribosomal RNA is filed under the name uncultured bacterium. RNAcentral's name for it is "bacterial SSU rRNA". It matches the Rfam family "Bacterial small subunit ribosomal RNA", at positions 56 to 507 of the family's 1533-position model. The record is from RNAcentral.